RNAcentral lists this ribosomal RNA (405 nucleotides) under uncultured bacterium. RNAcentral describes it as "bacterial SSU rRNA". It matches the Rfam family "Bacterial small subunit ribosomal RNA", at positions 355 to 776 of the family's 1533-position model. The record is from RNAcentral.
UGGGGAAUAUUGGGCAAUGGGCGCAAGCCUGACCCAGCAACGCCGCGUGAAGGAUGAAGGUUUUCGGAUUGUAAACUUCUGUCGCGAGGGACGAAGAAUGACGGUACCUCGUAAGAAAGCCCCGGCUAACUACGUGCCAGCAGCCGCGGUAAUACGUAGGGGGCGAGCGUUGUCCGGAAUGACUGGGCGUAAAGGGAGUGUAGGCGGCUAAAUAAGUUAGAUGUGAAAUCCCACGGCUUAACCGUGGAACUGCAUCUAAAACUGUAUAGCUGGAGUGCAGGAGAGGUGAGUGGAAUUCCUAGUGUAGCGGUGGAAUGCGUAGAUAUUAGGAGGAACACCAGAGGCGAAGGCGACUCACUGGACUGUAACUGACGCUGAGGCUCGAAAGCGUGGGGAGCAAACAGG